Cajanus cajan (pigeon pea) is the source of this 554-nucleotide non-coding RNA. NCBI's taxonomy places the organism in Eukaryota, Viridiplantae, Streptophyta, Magnoliopsida, Fabales, Fabaceae. The record is from RefSeq and is a predicted model, not a curated record.
UUCGAGAAAGAUCUUGAAACUUUGUAUGUUGAAGCAAAUACAUUUUCCCUUGCCUCUCACAUUUUCUGGGCACUGUGGGGUCUAAUUCAGGCAAAGAUGUCUCCAAUUGAAUUUGAUUAUCUUGGUUACUUUUUCCUUCGAUACCAAGAGUACAUAAGGAAGAAAGAGAAGUGUUUUAUGCUGGCACGGACCUACCUUUCAGGAUGCAAAAAUGAAUAGAUAUAUAGAUUAUGCUUACCCAAUGACUCUUGGGUUUUCAUUCGUCAUGUUUGUAGCAUGAGUCCCCUGAUUCUUGUAGUGUAAUGUUUGUGUAAAAUAUAAUUUUUAGGCACUUGUCAAAAUAAUGGCUUAUUAAUAUAUCAUUUUUAGUUUGAUCUAGGAGGCUCAUCGACGUUGUAAUCCCCUAGAACAUAGGUUAUAUAAUUUGAAAUAUUCUUUUUCUUGGAUUUUAGUCUUUAUAAGUUUUGGUCUGUAAUCAAAAGUCUUUGUUAUCGUUUUUUUCUUUUUCUAGUUUAUUCCUCCACUAAUGUAGUGGGAGAAGGUUGAGAUUUAAA